AAUCCCGACACGGGGAGGUAGUGACAAUAAAUAACAAUAUAGGGCUCUUUCGGGUCUUAUAAUUGGAAUGAGUACAAUUUAAAUCCCUUAACGAGGAACAAUUGGAGGGCAAGUCUGGUGCCAGCAGCCGCGGUAAUUCCAGCUCCAAUAGCGUAUAUUAAAGUUGUUGCAGUUAAAAAGCUCGUAGUUGAACUUCAGGCCUGGCUGGGCGGUCCGCCUAACGGUGUGUACUGUCUGGCUGGGUCUUACUUCUUGGUGAGCCGGUGUGCCCUUUAUUGGCGUGCAUCGGGGAACCAGGACUUUUACCUUGAGAAAAUUAGAGUGUUCAAAGCAGGCUAUUGCCUGAAUACAUUAGCAUGGAAUAAUAGAAUAGGACGUGCGGUUCUAUUUUGUUGGUUUCUAGAGUCGCCGUAAUGAUUAAUAGGGAUAGUUGGGGGCAUUGGUAUUGAGUCGCUAGAGGUGAAAUUCUUGGAUUGACUCAAGACCGACUACUGCGAA
This 498-nucleotide ribosomal RNA is filed under the name uncultured fungus. RNAcentral's name for it is "SSU rRNA". It matches the Rfam family "Eukaryotic small subunit ribosomal RNA", at positions 447 to 949 of the family's 1831-position model. The record is from RNAcentral. Lineage: Eukaryota; Fungi.